AACUGAGCUCUUCUUCUGUCCCUUGCCCUUCUAGCAGCUUCCUCUCGGCGAAAAUCCUAACUUCGCCAAAGAACAAACUACCCAUAGAGUUGGGUUCAAAGGAAGUUAGGAUCCCUUCGGAGAUCCUGGAGGAGGGGGCGGCCCGGAGUCUCGAUACAGAGAGGUACCUCCUUCCCAGGUUCAGGUGCACAUGGCAGAGGUCUGUCCAGGCAACUCGGGAGGCUCAGCUCCAUUAUUUUCCAUCAUUAGUUGGAUUCAGAAUGCUGUGAAUGUAACUUUCCAUGGAUUCCUUUGGGGAGGGAGACCCAAACCGCCCAGGACCUGCAACUCUGCUUGGAUUAUAUGAGUCUGGGGAAAGCAGAUAAUCUGGGAUCAGAUCCUGGGGUAUAGGGCAGUGUAGAUCCAACCUGAAUCUGUACUGAACAUAUAAUACAGUUCAAAUUGCAUGAAAUGACAGUGUAGAUACAGCUGUCGGCCCCAUCUAAACUGCCAUAUAAUCCAGUUUCAGAAUGCAUAUUAACCAUGGUUCAAAAUGGAUUAUAUGGCAGUUUAGACAGGGCCUAAGAGUAAGAAGUGAGAGAAGAUGACAGUGCUACAGUGUAGGGGAGAUCUACACUGUCCUAUUUCAUAGGAUCUGAUCCCAGAUUAUCUGCUUUAAACUGGAUUAUAAGAGUCUACACUGCCAAAUAAUCUGGUUUCAGAUCUUGGGAUAAGGGGCCGUGUGGAAGGGACCAUAGUUGGUGCAGAGGGUUUCCAAGGCCCUCCUCCCUCCACUACAAAUCCUAGGGCUCUCAGCCCAACGUUGGAGAAGAACCGUCCUUGAACAGUACAGAGAGAGUAUCCCAUAUGCUCUGUUUAGCUUAUAUGAUUGAAUCGUCUAAUAUUGUAAUAUUUAAUAUCUGUUCUGAUUGAAUAAACAUGCUCCUUUCUUUUUAAUUUGGUGCUUUCCUUGGAUUCCUUUGGGGAGGGGGAGGGUAACUCAAACCACCCAGGAUCUACAACUCAGGCCCCAUCUACAUCUAUAUAUAUAAAAUGAUAAAGUUGUUUGCGCAGUGACUAUAACAACAAAACUAAACAUCCCAGAAAUACGAAAUUUGGCAACACAAUGCAAAAGGCUUGCCUCCAGGUUACAACAACACAACCACACCACAAAACCACAAUCCAGACCCACAAAACUCACAACAACGCAUCAUGCGAUAACAACACAACUAAACGCCCCAGAAAUACAAAACUUGGCAACACAAUGCAAAAGCCUUGCCUCCCAGUUGUAACAACACAACCAUACCACAAAACCACACAGGACCCACAAAACUCACAACAACGCAUCGUGACUAUAACAACACAACUAAACACCCCGUAAAUACGAAACUUGGCAACACAACGCAAAAGCCUUCCCUCCAGGUUGUAACAA
Molecule: long non-coding RNA, 1411 nt
Organism: Anolis carolinensis (green anole)
Lineage: Eukaryota; Metazoa; Chordata; Lepidosauria; Squamata; Anolidae
Exons: 3
Source: RefSeq, a predicted model, not a curated record